GACAGAGGUGCCGAGCGUUAGGCGGAAUCACUGGGCUUAAAGCGUGUGUAGGCGGAGUUCUAAGUACCUUGUGAAAUCCCACGGCUCAACCGUGGAACUGCUUGGUAUACUGGUUCUCUUGGGUCAUCUAGGGGCGAGCGGAACAAACGGUGGAGCGGUGAAAUGCGUAGAUAUCGUUUGGAACGCCAAUGGUGAAAACAGCUCGCUGGGGAUGUACCGACGCUGAGACACGAAAGCCAGGGGAGCGAACGGG
This 253-nucleotide ribosomal RNA is filed under the name uncultured bacterium. RNAcentral describes it as "partial 16S ribosomal RNA". It matches the Rfam family "Bacterial small subunit ribosomal RNA", at positions 524 to 776 of the family's 1533-position model. The record is from RNAcentral.